This 68-nucleotide small nuclear RNA is filed under the name Cervus elaphus hippelaphus. It matches the Rfam family "U4 spliceosomal RNA", at positions 1 to 68 of the family's 138-position model. From Rfam's summary of the family: U4 small nuclear RNA (U4 snRNA) is a component of the major U2-dependent spliceosome. The record is from RNAcentral. Lineage: Eukaryota; Metazoa; Chordata; Mammalia; Artiodactyla; Cervidae.
AGCUUGGCGCAGUGGCAGUAUCGUAGCCAAUGAGAUUUAUCCGGGGCGCGAUUAUUGCUAAUUGAAAA